Molecule: ribosomal RNA, 497 nt
Filed under: uncultured bacterium
Lineage: Bacteria
Description: partial 16S ribosomal RNA
Rfam family: Bacterial small subunit ribosomal RNA
Source: RNAcentral
GAUGAACGCUGGCGGCGUGCCUAAUACAUGCAAGUCGAGCGAACAGACGAGGAGCUUGCUCCCCUGACGUUAGCGGCGGACGGGUGAGUAACACGUGGAUAACCUACCUCUAAUACUGGGAUAACUUCGGGAAACCGGAGCUAAUACUGGAUAAUAUAUUGAACCGCAUGGUUCAAUAGUGAAAGACGGUUUUGCUGUCACUUAUAGAUGGAUCCGCGCCGCAUUAGCUAGUUGGUAAGGUAACGGCUUACCAAGGCAACGAUGCGUAGCCGACCUGAGAGGGUGAUCGGCCACACUGGAACUGAGACACGGUCCAGACUCCUACGGGAGGCAGCAGUAGGGAAUCUUCCGCAAUGGGCGAAAGCCUGACGGAGCAACGCCGCGUGAGUGAUGAAGGUCUUCGGAUCGUAAAACUCUGUUAUUAGGGAAGAACAAAUGUGUAAGUAACUAUGCACGUCUUGACGGUACCUAAUCAGAAAGCCACGGCUAACUACGUG